UACGGAGGGGGCUAGCGUUGUUCGGAAUUACUGGGCGUAAAGCGCACGUAGGCGGAUAUUUAAGUCAGGGGUGAAAUCCCGGGGCUCAACCCCGGAACUGCCUUUGAUACUGGGUAUCUGGAGGUCGAGAGAGGCGAGUGGAAUUCCGAGUGUAGAGGUGAAAUGCGUAGAUAUCUGGAGGAACACCGGUGGCGAAGGCGGCAUUCUGGACCAAUACUGACGCUGAGGAGCGAAAGCCAGGGGAGCAAACGGG
This 253-nucleotide ribosomal RNA is filed under the name uncultured bacterium. Its description in RNAcentral is "partial 16S ribosomal RNA". It matches the Rfam family "Bacterial small subunit ribosomal RNA", at positions 524 to 776 of the family's 1533-position model. The record is from RNAcentral.